GAAACUAACAAGGAUUCCCCUAGUAACUGCGAGUGAAGCGGGAUAAGCUCAAAUUUAAAAUCUGGUGGUCUUUGGCCGCCCGAGUUGUAGUCUGGAGAAGUGCUUUCCGCGCUGGACCGUGUACAAGUCUCUUGGAACAGAGCGUCGUAGAGGGUGAGAAUCCCGUCUUUGACACGGACUACCAGUGCUUUGUGAUGCGCUCUCAAAGAGUCGAGUUGUUUGGGAAUGCAGCUCAAAAUGGGUGGUGAAUUCCAUCUAAAGCUAAAUAUUGGCGAGAGACCGAUAGUGAACAAGUACCGUGAGGGAAAGAUGAAAAGCACUUUGGAAAGAGAGUUAAACAGUACGUGAAAUUGCUGAAAGGGAAACGCUUGAAGUCAGUCGCGUUGUUCAGAACUCAGCCUUGCUUCCGCUUGGUGCAUUUUCUGACUAACGGGCCAGCAUCGAUUCUGACCGUCGGAAAAGGGCCAGAGUAAUGUGGCACCUCCGGGUGUGUUUAUAGACUUUGGUCAUAUACGGCGGUCGGGAUCGAGGAACGCAGCGCGCCGCAAGGCAGGGGUUCGCCCACUUUCGCGCUUAGGAUGCUGGCGUAAUGGCUUUAAACGACCCGUCUUGAAACACGGACCAAGGAGUCUAACAUGCCUGCGAGUGUUUGGGUGGAAAACCCGAGCGCGUAAUGAAAGUGAAAGUUGAGACCUCUGUCGUGGAGGGCAUCGACGCCCGGACCUGACGUUCUCUGAAGGAUCCGCGGUAGAGCAUGUAUGUUGGGACCCGAAAGAUGGUGAACUAUGCCUGAAUAGGGUGAAGCCAGAGGAAACUCUGGUGGAGGCUCGUAGCGAUUCUGACGUGC
This 847-nucleotide ribosomal RNA is filed under the name Perenniporia sp. MUCL 47876. RNAcentral describes it as "LSU rRNA". It matches the Rfam family "Eukaryotic large subunit ribosomal RNA", at positions 61 to 894 of the family's 3401-position model. The record is from RNAcentral. Lineage: Eukaryota; Fungi; Basidiomycota; Agaricomycetes; Polyporales; Polyporaceae.